AGUUAGCCGUGGCUUUCUGGUUAGGUACCGUCAAGGUGCCGCCCUAUUUGAACGGCACUUGUUCUUCCCUAACAACAGUAGCUUUACGAUCCGAAAACCUUCAUCACUCACGCGGCGUUGCUCCGUCAGACUUUCGUCCAUUGCGGAAGAUUCCCUACUGCUGCCUCCCGUAGGAGUCUGGGCCGUGUCUCAGUCCCAGUGUGGCCGAUCACCCUCUCAGGUCGGCUACGCAUCGUUGCCUUGGUGAGCCGUUACCUCACCAACUAGCUAAUGCGCCGCGGGUCCAUCUGUAAGUGGUAGCCGAAGCCACCUUUUAUGUCUGAACCAUGCGGUUCAAACAACCAUCCGGUAUUAGCCCCGGUUUCCCGGAGUUAUCCCAGUCUUACAGGCAGGUUACCCACGUGUUACUCACCCGUCCGCCGCUAACAUCAGGGAGCAAGCUCCCAUCUGUCCGCUCGACUUGCAUGUAUUAGGCACGCC
This 480-nucleotide ribosomal RNA is filed under the name Bacillus amyloliquefaciens. Its description in RNAcentral is "partial 16S ribosomal RNA". Lineage: Bacteria; Bacillati; Bacillota; Bacilli; Caryophanales; Bacillaceae. The record is from RNAcentral.